CCCUUAGAUGUUCUGGGCGGCCCGCGCACUACAAUGGCGUGUGCAGCGAGUGCCGAAGUAGAGUUUUCCGAGGUAUUCUUGCAAUGCUCGUUUUGAUGGGGAUAGACCCUUGCAACUGUUGGUUUUGAACGAGGAAUUCCUUGUAAGCAUGGUUUAUCAUCCGACGCUGAAUGCGUCCCUGCCCUUUGUACACACCGCCCGUCGCUCCUACCGAUGAGUCGUCCGGUGAAGUUCGUAGACCUCGUGAUCGCGGAUCACUGGGGGAAGAAAAAUGAACCUCGCGGUUUAGAGGAAGGAGAAGUCGUAACA
Molecule: ribosomal RNA, 309 nt
Filed under: uncultured eukaryote
Lineage: Eukaryota
Description: partial 18S ribosomal RNA
Rfam family: Eukaryotic small subunit ribosomal RNA
Source: RNAcentral